Molecule: small nucleolar RNA, 129 nt
Organism: Rhododendron vialii
Lineage: Eukaryota; Viridiplantae; Streptophyta; Magnoliopsida; Ericales; Ericaceae
Source: RefSeq, a predicted model, not a curated record
GAGCAAGGGCGUGUAUUUUGAUUCAAUGACGAUCCCUUGCAUUGAAGGUUGGCAACAUCGUUGAGCGAUUCUCCGUGCCUUUCAAAUCUACUCUCGUUUUGAUUACGGCCUCGAACAAAUCGCUACAUU